This is a non-coding RNA of Sus scrofa (pig), 6293 nucleotides long. The record is from RefSeq and is a predicted model, not a curated record. NCBI's taxonomy places the organism in Eukaryota, Metazoa, Chordata, Mammalia, Artiodactyla, Suidae.
CACUGAGCAAAGCCAGGGAUUGAACCUACAUCCUCAUGGAUGCUAAGUCACUUCAUUUCCUCAGAUUCGUUUCCACUGAGCCAUGAUGGGAACUUGUAAUUUAUGCCAUUUUAAUUACAGUGAGUUUUGUUGUAUUCCUCUUUGAGUUGAUUCUUUUUGGGACUCUUGUACUUCCUUGGAUGUAGAUGUCGGUUUCCUUUCCUAGAUUAGAGACGUUUUCAGGUAAUGUAGCUUCAACUAUGUUCUCUGCCCUUUCUCUCUCUCCUCUCUUCUGAGACCCCUAGAAUGUGAAUGUUAGUAUCCUUGAUGUUGUCUCAGAGGUCUCUUAAAAAGUCCUCAUUUCUUUUAUCUGUUCAGCUGUAGUGAUUUUCACUACUCUGUCUUCCAGCUCAUUGAUGCAUUCCUCUGUAUUGUUUCAUCUACUGUUGAUUCUUUCUAGUAUAGUUUUUAUUUGGUUUAUUGUAUUUUUGGUCUUUGUUCUGUAUAUUUUCUUUUUAUUAAAAACUUAAAACCUUUCACUCAUUCAUUCUUCUCUUGAGUCCUCUGGUCAUCUUUAUGAUCAUUACCGUGAACUCUUGCUCAGGUAGAUUGCUUAUCUCUACUUAGUUCUUCUGGGGUUUUAUCUUAUUUCUCUAUUUGGAAUAUGUUCCUCUGUUGCCUCAUUUUCCCCAACUUGCUGUUUUUAUUUCAUUGUAGAUGGCAGUCACUUGUGUUUCCUAACCUUGAAGAAGUGGCCUUUUGUAGAAGACGUCCUAUGAGUCCCAGCAGUACACUCCUCUUUGGUCACCAGUGCUAUGUGCUCUGGUGAGCUCCACUUGCUUCCUAUAUCUCCAAGAGACUCUCCAAGAUCAUCACCAGACUUUAUGAUCUGUUCUGCAGCAGAAGUGAGAAGAAAACAGAAGACGGUGGAUCAAGAUGGCGAAGUAGCAGGAUGGUGGGUGGCACUCACCUCCCACCAAACACAUCAAAAAUACAUGUACACGUGGAACAGAAAAUUAACUGAAAGAAAAUCUCCUAUACAACCAGGGCUGCAAGAACAAUUCUCACAUAAUCAGGUAGGACUAGGAAAAAUAUUGGGUUGGGACCCGUGCCCCUGGGAGGAGACUAAGAGGAAAAGGGAGUUUGCGUAGGUAGAUGCUCAUCCUGGGGAAUGAGCAGUUCAAGCCAUAGACGGGGCAUCCCAAUCCUGGGGUCCUACGUGGAAGAGACACCCCCUGCCCCCCACCUUAGAGAACCACUAAGACAGAGGGAAGGGCUGGAGAAGCCUAGACUCCACUUGCCAGGAGUGUGCAAGGGCUGGCUUGCCACCAGACAGGGCAGAGAAAGGUUGGUUUGCCCUAGCACCUCUCACUUUGCCACACUCUUAAAUCCAGGUUGAGUUAACCUUUUGGCCUGCUCACUCCACAUCACAGCUUGGCACUGGACCUAGGGCAGCCAGGUCUUAGGAAAGGAUGUGAUUUAUUGAUGAAGAGGUGGCCCAGGGACCCAGGGUAUGGUCCUGGUGGGGAAGUGAUGGGUAGUGGUGCUUACUCAAACAGUGCCACAGAAACAGAUCAGUGUCUGGAGGCAGUGCAGCUGCUCAAACUCCUGCAAGGAACACACUGCAGUGUCCCCCCAGCAACUGAAUGGAUGUUCCAGACCACCCGCCUACACCACAGCCUUGCUCUGGAAUGACCACAGCAGGGGAAAAGAUGCUACCUUGGCCUUCAUCUGAGCAGAGCUGCGGACUCCUACACAGGUAGUAAGUACAUCACACCUCUCUAAGCACAUGAGCCUCACGUACUUCUACACUCUUCUCCUUUGGGGCAAAGGCCCCAGUUUAGGGAGAAGGAAGAACACACACUUAAAUGGAACAGACCCAGCAACUUGGGAGCAAACCCCACGCCUGACAGGGUGGCCUCUGGCACUGAACAGAAAUGGAAGUCCUGCCUCACACCCUACACAGGCUCUAGCUCCUCCAUCACCAGCCACAUCCCUUUAUCAAGUGAUAGUGGCCACAACAGCCCGAGGGAAGAUGUGGCUGGUGUCCACGUCGGAUCUCGUCCUCACACCAAAGACACUGGGCACAUACAGUCCACACAGGGACACUCCCACAUACAAACACCCAAUAGGAAAGGAAAAUAUAAAUAAGCAUUGAAGAUCACUUAAGCCAGUAUGUAGAUUUAAAACCAAACCAAAAAUUUAUAAAAGUGAUUUUAACUAAAAUAAACAAUAAAGAGAUCAGCAUUGAGAAGUAAAAUAUGUAGAAGACAAUGUGGGGGAGGGGAGUAAAAAUGUAGAUCUUUUAGAAUAUGUUUGAAUUUAUCAGUUUAAAGCAAAUAGGUAUAAUUACUGUCAACAUGUAUGAACCCCAUGAUAACCACAAAUCAAAAACCUACAACAGAUACACACAAACUAAAAAGAAGGGAAUGCACGCACACCACCACGCAGUGGAGUUCCCAUGGCGGCUCAGUGGAAACGAAUCUGACUAGUAUCCAUGAGGACACAGGUUUGAUCCCUGGCCUUGCUUAGUAGGGUAAGGAUCUGGUGUUGCCGUGAGCUGUCAUAUAGGUCACAGACUCGGCUCAGAUCUAGCUUUCCUGUGGCACAGGCCAGCAGUUAAGCUCUGAUUUGACCCCUAGCCUGAGAACCUCCGUAUGCCCCAGGUGUGGCCCUAAAAAGAAAAAUUAAACAGAACUACAAAAACAACUGGGAAAUAAGGAAUAGGAUGGCAAAUAGUACAUACCUAUUGAUAACUAAAUGUCAGGGGACUAAAUAUUCUAAUCAAAAGACAUAGACUUUUAAAAAAGACCCUUCAAUAUGCUGCCUACAAAAGACUCACUUCAGGGCAAAAGAUGCACAUAGACUGAAAGUUUAAGGAAGGAAAAAGGUAUUUCAUGCAAAUGGGAAUGACAGUAGUGCAGGGUAGCAAUAUUCAUGUAAGACAAAAGAGACUUUAAAACAAAGGCCAUAAGGAAAAAUAAGGGCAUUAUAUUAAAGAUAAAAUGAUUGAAACAAGAAGAGGAUAUUACGUUUGUUAACAUAUAUGCACCCAGUACAGGAGCACCUAAAUAUAUAAAGCAACUACUGACAGACGUAAAGGGAGAAACUGACAGUAACGCCCUAUAGACAUUAAUGGAGAGAUGAUCUAGAGAGAAAGUCAGUAAGGAACAAAAGUCCUAAAUGACACAAUAGACUAGCUGGACUUCAUUUAUGUCUCAGGACACGACAUCAAACUUCUCAAGUGUGCAUAGAAUGUUCUCCAGGAUAAAUCACAUACUAGGUCACAAAAGAAGCCUCAACAAUUAUAAGAGGAUAGCAAUUAUAGCAAACAUUUUUCCCAGCCAUAGUGGUAUGAAACUAGAAAACAGCUACAGAAAGAAAAAUGGGAAAAGAACAAACACAUGGUGACCAAACAAUGUACUACAAAAAAAAUCAGUGGAUAAAUGAUGAAAUCAGAGGAGGAAAUCAGAAAAUACCUUGAGACAAAUGAAAAUGAAAAGACAGAUUUUCAAAAUCUGUGCAGUGCAACAAAAGCAGUUCUAAGAGGGGAUUUAAUAGUGAUACGGGUCUCCCCUAAGAAACAAGAAAAAAAUCUCAAACAACCUAACCUACCACCUAUAAUUAGAAAAGUAACAAACAAAAUUGAAAGUUAGCAGAAGGAAGGAAAUAAUCAAGAGCAGAGAGGAAAUAUAUAAAAUAACAGUAGAAAAGAUCAAUAAAACCAAUAGAAAAGAUCACUAAAACCAAAUAUAAAUAAAAUUAAUAAACUUUAGGCUCACUGUGGAAAAAAAAAGACCCUAGUAAAUAUGAGAUAAAAGAAGAGAAAUUACAACUGAUACCCACAGAGAUACAAAGAAAUCAUAAGGGAAUACUAUGCAUAUAUAUGCAAACAAAUUGGACAAUCCAAAAGAAAUGUAGAAAUUUCUAGGAAUAGCCUGCCAAGACUAAGUCAAGAAGAAACAAUUUGAAGAGACUAAGUACUAGAAGUGAAAUAGAAUCUGUAAUGAAAAAACUCUCAGCAGACAAUAAAGAAAACACUGGACACAAUUCAGGAUCCAUUCAUGAUAAAAGCUCUUACCAAAAGUGGCUAUAGAGGGAACAUAUCUCAACACAGCAAAGUCCGUUUAUGACAGACCCACAGCCAACAAAAUACUUAACGGUGAGAAGCUAAAAGCCUUCUGCCAAAUUGAACCAGAAAAGGAUGCCCAAUCUUGCUGCUUCUAUUUAGCAAAGUAUUGGAAGUCCUAGCCACAGCAUCCCAUGAGAAAAAGACAUAAAAGGAUAUCCAAAUGGGAACUGUCGCUUUAUACAGAUAACAUGAUACUAUGUAGAGAGAACCCUAAAGUCUCCAUAUAAAAACUAUUAGAGCUGAUAAAUGAAUUCAGCAAGGUUGCAGGAUACAAGAUUAACAUACAGUAUCUGUUGCAUUUCUAUACACUAAUAAUGAAAUAUUAGAAAGUUAAAAAAUAAUCCCAAUUAAUCAUAUCCCAAAAGAUACCUAGGAAUAAACUUAAUCAAGGAGGUUAAAGACCUGUACUCUGAAAUCUAUAAAAUACUGAUGAAGGAAAUUGAAGAUAAUUCAAAGAAAUGGAAAGUUAUCUCAUGCUCUUGGAUUGGAAGUAUUAAUGUUAUUAAAAUGGCCAUACUAUCCAAAGCAAUCUAUAUACGUAAUGCAAUCCCUAUCAGACUACCCAGAACAUUUUUCUGGAACUAGAACAAAUAAUCCUAUAAUUUAUAUGAAAACAGAAAAGAUCCUAAAUUGCCAAAGCAAUCCUGAGACAAACUGGAAGAGAACAAAGCUGGAAGUAUAACCCUCCCAGACUUUAGACCAUACAGCAAAGUACAGUUAUAAAAACAGCAUGGUAUUGGCACAAAUACAAAUGCAUAGAUCAAUGGAAAAGAACAGAGAGCCCAGAAAUAAACCCAUACACCUACAGUCAAUCUACAACAAAGGAAACAAGAAUAUACAAUGGAGAAAAGAGAAUCUCUUCAGCAAGUGAUGUUGGGAAAGCUGAACAGCCACAUGUAAAACAAUGAGGUUGGAACAUUAUCUCAUACCAUAUAAAAAAAUAAGCUCAAAAUGGUUUAAAGUCCUAAAUCUAAAACCUAAAGCCUUAAAACUAGAAAAUAAGCAGAACACUCUUUAACAUCAUAGCAAUAUUUUCUUGGAUCAGUUUUCAAAGGCAAAAGAAAUAAACAAAUAGCACCUAAUUAGAUUCGAACAGCCUUUCCUUGCACAGCCAAGGAAACCAUCAAAACAAAAAGACAGCCCGUGAAAUGCGAAAAACAUUGGCAAAUGAUGCAACUGACAAGGGGUUAAUAUCCAAAAUAUAUAUACAGUUCAUAUAACUCUAAUUUAAAAAUUAUUUGGAAAAAUAGAUAUUUUACAGAUGGCUAACAGGGAUAUGAAAAGAUGCUCAACAUCACUAAUUAUUAGAGAAAUGCAAAUCAAAACCAACAAUGAGGUGUCACCUCACACCUGUCAGAAUGGCUGACAUCAAAAAGUCUACAAAUUACAAGUUGGAGAGGAUGUGGAAAAAAGGGAACCCUCUUAUACUGUUGGUGGGAAUGUAAACUGGUACAACUGUUACGGAGAAUGGUAUGGAGGUUCCUUAAAAGACUGAAAAUAGAACUACCAUAUGAUCUAGCAGUUCCACUCCUGGGUGUAUAUUUGGAAAAAACAAAAACACUAAUUCGAAAAGACAUAGACACCCUAAUGUUCACAGAAGCACUAUUUAUAAUAGCCAAGAUAUGGAAGCAACCAAAGUGCCCAUCAACAGUUGACUCAAUUAAGAAGAUAUGACACACACAUGUGCACACACAGAGGAGUAUUACUCAGCCAUAAAGAAACUCUAUGUUCAGCAACGUGGAUAUACCUAGAGACUAUUAUGCUUCUUGAAAUAAACACAAAUACUAUGUAUCACUUCUAUGUGGAAUUAAAAAAAAAUACUCAUGAAUGUAUAUACAAAACAGAAAUAGGAUCACAGAUAUAGAAAACAAAUGUGUGGUUACCAAAGGAGGAGGGAAGUAGGAAUAAAUGAUUGAUAGGUAUGGGAUUAACAUUCAGACAACUGUAUACAUAAUAGAUGAGUGACAAGGAUAUACUGCAGAGCACAAGGAACUGUAUACAUUAUCUUGUAAUAACUAUAAUGGAAUAUAAUCUGCAAAAAUAUUGAAUCAUUGUGCUGUAUGCCUGAAACUAACACAGUAAUAUAUCAGCCAUAAUUCCAUUAAAAAUUCAUUGCCAUAAAAUGCUAUUUUGUAUACCCAGAGGUGAUUUUUGGAAAGGUCAAAAAAGAAGAAUAAAUACC